AGUUUGGUCUCAGGUCUAACCAUUGACUCUUCUAACCUUAUUAGCAAUUACUCAAAUUAAAAAAAAAAAAAAGCAUAGAGUUUCUUUAGAAUCCUCUUUUAAAAUCCUUCCCUUUUAAUUUGGAAUAUAGUGGCUUGGGAGAGCUGGAAGUCGAAAAACAAAGCGAUUCAUUCUCUGGCCAAGAAAUGUUCAGAAGCAACAAUGGUCAUGUUUAUACUACCAUGGCAAAAAGAGAAUGCUUAAAUUAAACCAUUACUGAUUUAAAUUCAUGAACUAAGAUAAUUGAUAUUGAAUAUUGAAAUUAAAGACUGCAUUUGUGUUCUUAAGUCUGCCUGGUGGAGAACAUUUGAGUAAUAUUUGUCUUUAAAGAGUACGUGGGUGAUGAACCCUGAAAAUAGCCUUCCUUCUAUAUCAAAUAUGACUUUAACAAAACAAGUUGGACUACAUUCAAAUCUGCUUACAUAAAUGGAGUUUGUAAUUUUUCUUAAUGAUUUGAGAUUCUAUAGUAAUUUCACGGCCACAUGUGGAUUUGAAGAGAUAUAAGCUUUACAAAAAUCUAACAUAAAUUAAACUUCAUUCUAUAUUUAUUCAAUACAUAUUCUUGUUUCAGGAGAAAAUAUUUACUGGAUGAUACCUUUGUGAGAACCAUUCUCAGUAGCAGAUUGUUAUAAUGACAUGGUUUCUUGCUUUAACAAAAAAUAAAUGGUAUCAUUUAAAAAAGAAAAAGAAAAAAAAAGCUCUCCCCAUUGGUGGCCUGGGAAGGGAGCACAUGGUGACGCUCAGCAGCUAUCUCAGCUGCAGCCCUCCUGGCAGGGUGGGGUGGAAGGCAGGCAGUUCUCUGCUCUGAGGCUGCAAAUGUGGAGGCAGCAGAGCCCAGGGAAGUCAGGUGCCCUGGCCGCUGCCCCUGUACUCCAGCCACUGUCCUGGGGGCAGUGAAUGCUGAGACAGGGUCCAGGUGGAAAGCUGGAAUCGCUUGGAUUUCCCCAGAGCAUCCCUUGUCACCAUGUCAUAUUCUGCCAGGCAGCCUACAGCAUCCAACAGCAUCUCAGAAAUGGGGACUGUCUGGGGUCACUGAGCAGCCCGUUGUCCACCUCUCUGACCAGCCUGUGAAGUGCACAGCCUCCAGAAAGUGUGCCCUGAGCAGGAGGCUCUGCAGCCCCUUCCUCACACACCAGAGCCCCCAAAAAGAAUUUCAUGAUUGUCCUAACAUUUCCCCACACAGAACUAAAAGGACUGAUGUGAGUAUACCUAUGUAACAAACCGUCACAUGUUCCCCCGAACCUAAAAUCAAAGUUUCAAAAAAAAAAGGGGGUGUGUGUUUGCCCUAUCUUCUUUGUCUUUCUCUCGCCCUCUCUCACCUUCCUCACCGUCUCCCUUCUGCCUUGGGAUAAUAUAGCAAGAAGGCUGGCUCUUGAAAGACACUGACACCUGAUAUUGGACUUCUCAGCCUCCAUAACUGUGAGCCAGUGAAUUUCUGUUCAUUAUAAAUCACCCAGUCUCAAGUAUUUUGUUAUAGUAGCACAAAUGGACUUAGACAGAAAAUUGGUAUCAAGAAGUGGAGGUUGUGCCAUAACAAACACAUGAAAAUGUAGAAGCAGCUUUGAAACUGGGCAAUGGGUAGAGACUGGAAGAGUUUGGAGAAGCUGACUGGAAAUAGCUUGUAUUGCCAUGAAAGGAGCAUUAAGAGCAAUUCUAGUGAGGAGUCAGAGGAAGAAAGGGGCUGUAGGGAAAGUCUGAAUCUUCCUAGAGAUUACUAAGUGGUCGUGAUCAGAAUGUUGGUAGAAAUAAGGACAGUCAAGGCAAUUCUGAUGAGGUCUCAAGUUGAAAUGAGAGAAAAGGUACCAGACACUGGAGUAAAAGCCACCUUGUUACAAAGUGGCAAAGACCUUAGCUAAAUUGUGUCCACCCCAAGUGCUUUGUGAAAGGCAGAAUGUAAGAGAAAUGAACUAGAACACCUGGUCAAAGAAAUAUCUAAGCAACGAAGUAUUCAGGGUGCGGUGUGGCUUCUCAUAACUGUGUAUACUAAAUUUUGAGAAGAGAAAAUUUAUUUAAAAACAAAAUUGUAUAGUUAAAAGAAAAACAUAGUUUAAGGAUUUGAAGGAUUCUCA
RNAcentral lists this long non-coding RNA (2108 nucleotides) under Macaca mulatta (Rhesus monkey). RNAcentral describes it as "lncRNA (ENSMMUG00000053487.1)". The record is from RNAcentral. Lineage: Eukaryota; Metazoa; Chordata; Mammalia; Primates; Cercopithecidae.